AACGGCUUGAGAUGAGUUUCACAGGCUUUGAGGAGCCCCCUCCCAAUUAUUCCUGUUUCCUGCAGCCAGCUAAGAAAGAAGAUUUCUUUUUAAUGUCUGGAAGCAGCUGAUUCUCCUGGGCAGGGGGGGUUGCAGGAAGCUGCUCCAGACCCUCAUUCCCAAGCGGGAAUUUGCUCCACUCUGUUUCCUGUGCUCAGCAUUAACCACUCCCUGGGGUGUCCACUGUGCUGCUUCUGGAAAAUGAGAAGCUGAUCCUCCCAAUCUGGCAGGGGAGGAGGUGACAAUCACCUUGUCUGUGUGUAAGCAACCACCUGAAAAUGAAGAGGUUUGUUUUGGGCAGAGAGCCUGGCAGCAUUUUUCCAUGGAAGUAAAACUUGGGAAUGGACCUGCAGCUGAGAGAAGCCUGCAAAUACUGAUUUUAUUUGUUUCUCCCCCUUGAAAACACCUCUCUGC
Molecule: long non-coding RNA, 453 nt
Organism: Myiozetetes cayanensis
Lineage: Eukaryota; Metazoa; Chordata; Aves; Passeriformes; Tyrannidae
Exons: 4
Source: RefSeq, a predicted model, not a curated record